This 497-nucleotide ribosomal RNA is filed under the name uncultured bacterium. RNAcentral describes it as "partial 16S ribosomal RNA". It matches the Rfam family "Bacterial small subunit ribosomal RNA", at positions 28 to 507 of the family's 1533-position model. The record is from RNAcentral.
GAUGAACGCUGGCGGCGUGCCUAAUACAUGCAAGUCGAGCGAACAGACGAGGAGCUUGCUCCUUUGACGUUAGCGGCGGACGGGUGAGUAACACGUAGGUAACCUACCUAUAAGACUGGGAUAACUUCGGGAAACCGGAGCUAAUACCGGAUAAUAUUUCGAACCGCAUGGUUCGAUAGUGAAAGAUGGCUUUGCUAUCACUUAUAGAUGGACCUGCGCCGUAUUAGCUAGUUGGUAAGGUAACGGCUUACCAAGGCAACGAUACGUAGCCGACCUGAGAGGGUGAUCGGCCACACUGGAACUGAGACACGGUCCAGACUCCUACGGGAGGCAGCAGUAGGGAAUCUUCCGCAAUGGGCGAAAGCCUGACGGAGCAACGCCGCGUGAGUGAUGAAGGUCUUCGGAUCGUAAAGCUCUGUUAUUAGGGAAGAACAAACGUGUAAGUAACUGUGCACGUCUUGACGGUACCUAAUCAGAAAGCCACGGCUAACUACGUG